RNAcentral lists this transfer RNA (74 nucleotides) under Microbacterium phage Hendrix. RNAcentral describes it as "tRNA-Phe". It matches the Rfam family "tRNA". Rfam says of the family: Transfer RNA (tRNA) molecules are approximately 80 nucleotides in length. The record is from RNAcentral. Lineage: Duplodnaviria; Heunggongvirae; Uroviricota; Caudoviricetes.
GGCUCCGUAGCUCAGUUGGUAGAGCGCUCGAUUGAAAAUCGAGAGGUCCCUGGUUCAAGCCCAGGCGUUGCCAC